AGUGAACGCUGGCGGCGUGCCUAAUACAUGCAAGUCGAACGGAAUUUAAAAGAGCUUGCUCUUUUAAAUUUAGUGGCGCACGGGUGAGUAAUAUAUAGCUAAUCUGCCCCUUGCUGGAGGACAACAGUUAGAAAUGACUGCUAAUACUCCAUACUCCUUUUUACCAUAAGAUAAAUCGGGAAAGAAUUUCGGCAAGGGAUGAGACUAUAUCGUAUCAGCUAGUCGGUGGGGUAACGGCCUACCGAGGCUAUGACGCGUAACUGGUCUGAGAGGAUGAUCAGUCACAUUGGAACUGAGACACGGUCCAAACUCCUACGGGAGGCAGCAGUAGGGAAUAUUGCGCAAUGGGGGAAACCCUGACGCAGCAACGCCGCGUGGAGGAUGACACUUUUCGGAGCGUAAACUCCUUUUGUUAGGGAAGAAUAAUGACGGUACCUAAC
Molecule: ribosomal RNA, 440 nt
Filed under: Campylobacter gracilis
Lineage: Bacteria; Pseudomonadati; Campylobacterota; Epsilonproteobacteria; Campylobacterales; Campylobacteraceae
Description: bacterial SSU rRNA
Rfam family: Bacterial small subunit ribosomal RNA
Source: RNAcentral